CCUACGGGAGGCAGCAGUGGGGAAUUUUGGACAAUGGGCGCAAGCCUGAUCCAGCAAUGCCGCGUGCAGGAUGAAGGCCUUCGGGUUGUAAACUGCUUUUGUACGGAGCGAAACGGUCUGCCCUAAUACGGUGGGCUAAUGACGGUACCGUAAGAAUAAGCACCGGCUAACUACGUGCCAGCAGCCGCGGUAAUACGUAGGGUGCGAGCGUUAAUCGGAAUUACUGGGCGUAAAGCGUGCGCAGGCGGUGAUGUAAGACAGAUGUGAAAUCCCCGGGCUCAACCUGGGACCUGCAUUUGUGACUGCAUCGCUAGAGUACGGUAGAGGGGGAUGGAAUUCCGCGUGUAGCAGUGAAAUGCGUAGAUAUGCGGAGGAACACCGAUGGCGAAGGCAAUCCCCUGGACCUGUACUGACGCUCAUGCACGAAAGCGUGGGGAGCAAACAGGAUUAGAUACCCUGGUAGUCCACGCCCUAAACGAUGUCAACUGGUUGUUGGGUCUUCACUGACUCAGUAACGAAGCUAACGCGUGAAGUUGACCGCCGUGGGGAGUCGGCCCGNAAGGUUGAAACUCGAAAUGAAUUGACGG
Molecule: ribosomal RNA, 587 nt
Filed under: uncultured bacterium
Lineage: Bacteria
Description: bacterial SSU rRNA
Rfam family: Bacterial small subunit ribosomal RNA
Source: RNAcentral